RNAcentral lists this long non-coding RNA (505 nucleotides) under Homo sapiens (human). RNAcentral's name for it is "non-protein coding lnc-NKX6-1-10:1". The record is from RNAcentral. Lineage: Eukaryota; Metazoa; Chordata; Mammalia; Primates; Hominidae.
GGCCGAGGCAGGAGGAGUGCAGCCCACAAGACAACGCCUUAGGACUGAUGCACCUCCGCCGGCUCUUCACGGAGUUGUGCCAUCCUCCCCGGCACAUGACUCAGAAGGAACAAGAAGAGAAACUGUAUAUGAUGCUGCCAGUGUUUAACAGGGUUUUUGGAAAUGCUCCGCCGAAUACAAUGACAGAAAAAUUUUCUGAUCUUCUGCAGUUCACAACACAAGUCUCACGACUAAUGGUGACAGAAAUUCGAAGGAGAGCAUCAAACAAAUCCACAGGUAUUUUUACAGUAGCCAGCAAAAACUGAUUUGUUUGAAUGAACAAGCAGUUCUGUAAAAGUCCCAUUAAAAUUAAAUGGAAAACAGACCUUGUUCUCAGCACAUUGAGUUCAUUUACCCAUUCCCUUUCCCUUUCUUAGAGUCACAUUCUUUUCCUGGUUUCAGCAUCUUCAACUCUCCAGUAGUUCUGCUCAAGGCUACUCUGCCUGGACCACUACCACUUCCACCC